Molecule: small RNA, 57 nt
Filed under: Sinorhizobium meliloti 2011
Lineage: Bacteria; Pseudomonadati; Pseudomonadota; Alphaproteobacteria; Hyphomicrobiales; Rhizobiaceae
Description: putative ncRNA
Source: RNAcentral
CGCCAGUCAUUCGGUCGGUUACCGCAAACCGCGGGCCGGAUGCAAUCGGUUGCUGCA